GACAGCUUGGCCGAGCGGUUAAGGCGAUAGACUCGAAAUCUAUUGGGGAAACCCUCGUGAGUUCAAAUCUCACAGCUGUCG
Molecule: non-coding RNA, 81 nt
Organism: Aphanomyces astaci
Lineage: Eukaryota; Oomycota; Saprolegniomycetes; Saprolegniales; Verrucalvaceae
Source: Rfam